UUUGAGACAGUAAGUCAGCAUAUUGAGAACUUUAAUAAGGAAUUGCAGACAGACAGGCAGGCUUACAGUGGCAUGACUAUUGGUAUCCAGUAGUUUGUCAUGCUGUUAGGAGGAGAUGGAAAGCUCAGCAUAUUCCCUGACUGGAACAAAACAUGGUUAACAAAAAACGUUCCAGAUUCCAAACGUUGACCUGCUACUGCUGAUGACAGUAAUCAGUGUGCAGAUUAAAAUCAUGGACCAAUCAGACAGGCAAGCAGCUCUAGCUCCACCCUCCCUACACGUCCCUCUGCCUUAGUGUGUCUGUCCCAAAAUGGCACCCUAUUGCGUAUAUAGUGCACUGCCUCCCAAAUGGCACCCUAUUCCCUAUAUUGUGCACUACUUUUGACCAGGGCCGAUAGGUCCACAUUUUGACCAGACUUGCCCAGAUAAUGAGUCAUGGAGGCAAUUAUGUGCAUCCCAAAUAGCACCCUAUUCCCUAUAUAGUGCACUACAGGACCUCGAUCUACAUCUCCUGUUCUUCUGUCUGCUGGACGUCUCAGGGUGGAGGUGGUGACACCACGCUGCUGUCCUCAGGGUGGAGGUGGUGACACCACGCUGCUGUCCUCAGGGUGGAGGUGGUGACACCACGCUGCUAUCGUCAGGGUGGAGGUGGUGACACCACGCUGCUGUCCUCAGGGUGGAGGGUCAGGGUGGAGGUGGUGACACCACGCUGCUGUCCUCAGGGUGUGAGGGUCAGGGUGGAGGUGGUGACACCAUGCUGCUGUCCCCAGGGUGUGAGGGUCAGGGUCAGGGUGGAGGUGGUGACACCAUGCUGCUGUCCCCAGGGUGUGAGGGUCAGGGUCAGGGUGGAGGGAGAGCCCUGCCUCCUGGGGCUCCCCACCCUUUCAUGUGCUCAUCACUCUGACGUGGAAACUAGUGCUGCUGCAGACAAGGAGUCAAAUAUCAUGUCAAAUGGGAUCGCACUGCAAAAAGGCCAAAGGGCGGCUUUAGGGAGUGUGUGCAUGCAUGCUCACGACUGGGUGACUGCACGAUUCUGUGUGUACGUGCGCU
This is a long non-coding RNA of Oncorhynchus tshawytscha (Chinook salmon), 1050 nucleotides long. The record is from Ensembl. Lineage: Eukaryota; Metazoa; Chordata; Actinopteri; Salmoniformes; Salmonidae.